Molecule: ribosomal RNA, 253 nt
Filed under: uncultured bacterium
Lineage: Bacteria
Description: partial 16S ribosomal RNA
Rfam family: Bacterial small subunit ribosomal RNA
Source: RNAcentral
UACGUAGGGGGCUAGCGUUGUCCGGAAUCAUUGGGCGUAAAGAGCGUGUAGGCGGCCAUGCAGGUCCGUUGUGAAAACUGGAGGCUUAACCUCCAGACGUCGACGGAAACCGCGUGGCUAGAGUCCGGAAGAGGAGAGUGGAAUUCCUGGUGUAGCGGUGAAAUGCGCAGAUAUCAGGAAGAACACCAAUGGCGAAGGCAGCUCUCUGGGACGGUACUGACGCUGAGACGCGAAAGCGUGGGGAGCGAACAGG